CAGGGUUUGACAUCCCGGUGACCGCCAUAGAGAUAUGGUUUUCCCUUCGGGGACACCGGUGACAGGUGGUGCAUGGUUGUCGUCAGCUCGUGUCGUGAGAUGUUGGGUUAAGUCCCGCAACGAGCGCAACCCUUAUUGUUAGUUGCUACGCAAGAGCACUCUAGCGAGACUGCCGUUGACAAAACGGAGGAAGGUGGGGACGACGUCAAAUCAUCAUGCCCCUUAUAUCCUGGGCUACACACGUAAUACAAUGGCACUUAACAAAGGGAAGCAAGACCGCGAGGUGGAGCAAAUCCCCAAAAAGUGUCCCAGUUCGGACUGCAGUCUGCAACUCGACUGCACGAAGUCGGAAUUGCUAGUAAUCGCGGAUCAGCAUGCCGCGGUGAAUACGUUCCC
RNAcentral lists this ribosomal RNA (396 nucleotides) under uncultured bacterium. RNAcentral's name for it is "bacterial SSU rRNA". It matches the Rfam family "Bacterial small subunit ribosomal RNA", at positions 975 to 1375 of the family's 1533-position model. The record is from RNAcentral.